This 76-nucleotide small RNA is filed under the name Salmonella enterica subsp. enterica serovar Dublin. RNAcentral's name for it is "partial RtT sRNA". It matches the Rfam family "RtT RNA", at positions 54 to 130 of the family's 130-position model. Rfam says of the family: This family represents a bacterial cis-regulatory element known as RtT RNA. The record is from RNAcentral. Lineage: Bacteria; Pseudomonadati; Pseudomonadota; Gammaproteobacteria; Enterobacterales; Enterobacteriaceae.
UCAGCGAGAAAGCGUUGCGCAGCAACGGCCCGUAGGGCGAAGCGCGCAGCGCUGAGUCAUCCUUCCCCCACCACCA